RNAcentral lists this non-coding RNA (266 nucleotides) under Gossypium hirsutum (cotton). RNAcentral's name for it is "Bacterial small subunit ribosomal RNA". It matches the Rfam family "Bacterial small subunit ribosomal RNA", at positions 106 to 347 of the family's 1533-position model. The record is from Rfam by way of RNAcentral. Lineage: Eukaryota; Viridiplantae; Streptophyta; Magnoliopsida; Malvales; Malvaceae.
GUGGCAAAGCCUUGGGUAAAAAUAGCACUUGGUGCGGUUAUUGCACUUAAAUUAUUUUUGCGCUUUUUAAAUUUUAAAUAGGAAACCAUAUGAAUAAGGGAGAAACCGUAGGCUGACGAGCAAAAGGAGGAAUCUGCCCGAGGAGGGGCUCGAGUCUGAUUAGCUAGUUAGUGAGGCAAUAGCUUACCAAGGCGAUGAUCAGUAGCUGGUCCGAGAGGAUGAUCAGCCACAUUGGGACUAAGACACGGCCCAGACUCCUACGGGAG